AGAGUUUGAUUCUGGCUCAGGAUGAACGCUGGCGGCGUGCUUAACACAUGCAAGUCGAACGGGAUCCAUCAGGCUUUGCUUGGUGGUGAGAGUGGCGAACGGGUGAGUAAUGCGUGACCGACCUGCCCCAUGCACCGGAAUAGCUCCUGGAAACGGGUGGUAAUGCCGGAUGCUCCAUCGCACCGCAUGGUGUGUUGGGAAAGCCUUUGCGGCAUGGGAUGGGGUCGCGUCCUAUCAGGUAGUCGGCGGGGUAACGGCCCACCGAGCCUACGACGGGUAGCCGGCCUGAGAGGGCGACCGGCCACAUUGGGACUGAGAUACGGCCCAG
Molecule: ribosomal RNA, 328 nt
Filed under: uncultured bacterium
Lineage: Bacteria
Description: bacterial SSU rRNA
Rfam family: Bacterial small subunit ribosomal RNA
Source: RNAcentral